This 305-nucleotide non-coding RNA is filed under the name Mycoplasma sp. CAG:776. RNAcentral's name for it is "Bacterial large subunit ribosomal RNA". It matches the Rfam family "Bacterial large subunit ribosomal RNA", at positions 2620 to 2925 of the family's 2925-position model. The record is from Rfam by way of RNAcentral. Lineage: Bacteria; Bacillati; Mycoplasmatota; Mollicutes; Mycoplasmatales; Mycoplasmataceae.
CGUGAGACAGUUCGGUCCCUAUCCGUCGUUGGCGUAGGAAAAUUGAGGAGAGCUGAUCCUAGUACGAGAGGACCGGAUUGGACAUACCUCUGGUGUAUCUGUUGUAACGCCAGUUGCAUCGCAGAGUAGCUAUGUAUGGACGGGAUAACUGCUGAAAGCAUCUAAGCAGGAAGCCUCCUCCAAGAUGAAUUUUCCCAUUCUUCGUGAAGUAAGAUUCCUUGUAGACUACAAGGUUGAUAGGCUGGGUGUGGAAGCGUAGUGAUACGUUGAGCUGACCAGUACUAAUAGAUCGAGGAUUUAACUUA